GUCGUCGCCUUUGUUUUCUUCCGCUUGGGAGGAGCCCCACCACCACAGUGAUGUUAGAUGGCCCUAAAAGAAAUGUUUUAUCCAGUGCCUGCUCUGCUUCACAUCUAUCCCCAGACCUUAGGACUGUGUGAGCCGUUUGCAUUUCCUGAAACCGGAUCUCGGUGUCAGAGCCGCCCCCGGGCCGGGCGGGCACCUCAGCCAUGGCCCUGCGCAAGGAGCUGCUCAAGUCCAUCUGGUACGCGUUCACCGCCCUGGACGUGGAGAAGAGCGGCAAGGUCUCCAAGUCCCAGCUCAAGAUCAUGUCAUCUAGUGGGGGCUUCAGGAUAGACAGGAGAACAGCAGAUCAUCCAAAAUCCAGCCCUGCAGAAACCCGUGCCCUACAUCCACCUCCCACUGCCUUUCGUAUCUUGUAGGAACAAUCCCAACCUCCAUAGUUUAUCUCCAAGGUACCGUUUUCUGUCUCCAUUACCUGCAGCCCCUGUAACCUCUCCAGGCUCUCUAUGCCCA
Molecule: non-coding RNA, 507 nt
Organism: Leptonychotes weddellii (Weddell seal)
Lineage: Eukaryota; Metazoa; Chordata; Mammalia; Carnivora; Phocidae
Source: RefSeq, a predicted model, not a curated record